RNAcentral lists this unclassified non-coding RNA (382 nucleotides) under uncultured bacterium. RNAcentral describes it as "contains 16S-23S intergenic spacer region". The record is from RNAcentral.
UCCCCGUUAUCCUGGGCAGUCCCUCCAGAGUUCCCGGCAUGACCCGUUGGCAACUGGAGGCAAGGGUUGCGCUCGUUGCGGCACUUAAGCCAACACCUCACGACACGAGCUGACGACAGCCAUGCAGCACCUGUGCACGGACUCCGAAGAGGAACCGAUGUUUCCACCGGCUUUCCCGUGCAUGUCAAGCCUAGGUAAGGUUCUUCGCGUUGUAUCGAAUUAAGCCACAUGCUCCGCCGCUUGUGCGGGCCCCCGUCAAUUCCUUUGAGUUUUAGCCUUGCGGCCGUACUCCCCAGGCGGAGUGCUUAAUGCGUUAGCUGCGGCACAGAGAGGGUUGAAGACCUCCCCACACCUAGCACUCAACGUUUACGGCUGGGACUAC